RNAcentral lists this transfer RNA (57 nucleotides) under Bos taurus (domestic cattle). It matches the Rfam family "tRNA", at positions 8 to 63 of the family's 71-position model. Rfam says of the family: Transfer RNA (tRNA) molecules are approximately 80 nucleotides in length. Their secondary structure includes four short double-helical elements and three loops (D, anti-codon, and T loops). Further hydrogen bonds mediate the characteristic L-shaped molecular structure. tRNAs have two regions of fundamental functional importance: the anti-codon, which is responsible for specific mRNA codon recognition, and the 3' end, to which the tRNAs corresponding amino acid is attached (by aminoacyl-tRNA synthetases). tRNAs cope with the degeneracy of the genetic code in two manners: having more than one tRNA (with a specific anti-codon) for a particular amino acid; and 'wobble' base-pairing, i.e. permitting non-standard base-pairing at the 3rd anti-codon position. Lineage: Eukaryota; Metazoa; Chordata; Mammalia; Artiodactyla; Bovidae. RNAcentral also lists the same sequence under 6 other names. The record is from Rfam by way of RNAcentral.
UGGCUCAGAAGGUAAAGAAUCUGCCUGCAAUGCAGGAGACCCAGGUUCAAUCCCUGG